UCAUGCAGAAGCUUUAGAAGAUUCUUAUUUAAAUUUCGCAGUAAAAGUGUUGAAAUAUUUUUGGCCUAAUUUUAAAUACAAAUUUGGUACUGAAGAAUUUGCUAUAAAUGAAUAUAACAUUAUGCGUAUUUUAUUUCAUCCAAAUGUUGUUGGUUUAAUUGAUAGUUUUAGAGUUCAUACCUUUCGAAAAUUUAACGCAAAAAGUCAAAGAACUCAAAAACUUAAUUACAAAAAUCGAUCAGUAACGUAUGAUUUUAGUAUUCAACGAAAUAAUCAAGAAGAACGUAUAUCUUUUAAUCCAUCAAGCAUUAGUAUCCAAAGAAAUAGCACAUAUGACACAUUAAUUAACAACAGUGGUAUUACUGUGGAAGAAUUAGAAAAAGAAUUAGUUUUAAAUGAUAAAGAUUAUAUUUGGAAUACUAUACAAAAGAAUAAAACAAAUGUUUCUAAUGAUCCUAAUGACCCUAAUAGUAAUAAAAAAAACUCUUGUAAUUUAAAAGAAUGUUCUAUUUUGUCUAAAAAUGAUACAACGUACGGACAUAAUAAUAUAAGUUCACGAAAUUUAAUCGGUUGUAUCAAAAAUAAUACGUCUAGUAGUACUUCAACCAAUCUACAUCGUAAUAAGUCACAAUAUGAGAAUACUAGAUUACAUGUAUCCACUAAAGAAGAAAAAAAAAAAUAUAUAAAUCUAAAUAAAUCUUAUCAUUUAAGGAAAAAUACGAAAAAUGUAACACAUUAUAAAAAUGAAGCAUCUAAAAUUCAAUUAAAAAAUGUAACAAAUAAAUAUAUUGAUAAAUUAAAAUUCCGAAAAUUUUCAAAUAAUUAUAAAAAAAUCGAAAAUAAUAGUGAUGAAUUUUUAGAAAAUUGGAAUUUAUUUUUAGUAAUAGAAAAAUGUGAUUAUAGUUUAAAUGAGAUUUUGAAUAAAUUUAAAGCUAAAAAUUUAAAUUUUCAACAAUGUAUAAAAAAAGAUGCAUCUGAACAUGUAGCAAAAUAUAACGUAGAGCUUGUAGUUGAUUAUAUGUUUAAUUAUG
Molecule: long non-coding RNA, 1031 nt
Filed under: Piliocolobus tephrosceles (Ugandan red Colobus)
Lineage: Eukaryota; Metazoa; Chordata; Mammalia; Primates; Cercopithecidae
Description: lncRNA (ENSPTEG00000005469.1)
Source: RNAcentral